This 274-nucleotide ribosomal RNA is filed under the name uncultured bacterium. RNAcentral's name for it is "partial 16S ribosomal RNA". It matches the Rfam family "Bacterial small subunit ribosomal RNA", at positions 523 to 796 of the family's 1533-position model. The record is from RNAcentral.
AUACGAAAGGUGCGAGCGUUGUUCGGAUUUACUGGGCGUAAAGCGAGUGUAGGUGGUUUGUUAAGUCGGAUGUGAAAUCCCGGGGCUCAACCUCGGAACUGCAUUCGAUACUGGCAGGCUCGAGUUCGGGAGGGGUAAGCGGAAUUCCGUGUGUAGCAGUGAAAUGCGUAGAUAUACGGAGGAACACCUGAGGCGAAGGCGGCUUACUGGACCGAUACUGACACUGAGACUCGAAAGCGUGGGUAGCAAACAGGAUUAGAAACCCUAGUAGUCC